Molecule: ribosomal RNA, 497 nt
Filed under: uncultured bacterium
Lineage: Bacteria
Description: partial 16S ribosomal RNA
Rfam family: Bacterial small subunit ribosomal RNA
Source: RNAcentral
GAUGAACGCUGGCGGCGUGCCUAAUACAUGCAAGUCGAGCGAACAGACGAGGAGCUUGCUCCUCUGACGUUAGCGGCGGACGGGUGAGUAACACGUGGAUAACCUACCUAUAAGACUGGGAUAACUUCGGGAAACCGGAGCUAAUACCGGAUAACAUGUUGAACCGCAUGGUUCAACAGUGAAAGACGGUCUUGCUGUCACUUAUAGAUGGAUCCGCGCCGCAUUAGCUAGUUGGUAAGGUAACGGCUUACCAAGGCAACGAUGCGUAGCCGACCUGAGAGGGUGAUCGGCCACACUGGAACUGAGACACGGUCCAGACUCCUACGGGAGGCAGCAGUAGGGAAUCUUCCGCAAAGGGCGAAAUCCUGACGGAGCAACGCCGCGUGAGUGAAGAAGGUCUUCGGAUCGUAAAACUCUGUUAUUAGGGAAGAACAAAUGUGUAAGUAACUAUGCACGUCUUGACGGUACCUAACCAGAAAGCCACGGCUAACUACGUG